GGGGGCGUAGUUCAGCUGGUUUAGAACGCUGCCCUGUCACGGCAGAGGUCGCGGGUUCGAAUCCCGUCGCUCCCGCCA
RNAcentral lists this transfer RNA (78 nucleotides) under Candidatus Hydrogenedentota bacterium. Its description in RNAcentral is "tRNA-Asp". It matches the Rfam family "tRNA". Rfam says of the family: Transfer RNA (tRNA) molecules are approximately 80 nucleotides in length. Their secondary structure includes four short double-helical elements and three loops (D, anti-codon, and T loops). The record is from RNAcentral. Lineage: Bacteria; Pseudomonadati; Candidatus Hydrogenedentota.